RNAcentral lists this ribosomal RNA (491 nucleotides) under uncultured bacterium. RNAcentral describes it as "bacterial SSU rRNA". It matches the Rfam family "Bacterial small subunit ribosomal RNA", at positions 903 to 1397 of the family's 1533-position model. The record is from RNAcentral.
AAAGGAAUAGACGGGGGCCCGCACAAGCGGUGGAGCAUGUGGUUUAAUUCGAAGCAACGCGAAGAACCUUACCAGGUCUUGACAUCCCUGGACAGCCAUGGAAACAUGGUGUUCCUUCGGGACCAGGAGACAGGUGGUGCAUGGUUGUCGUCAGCUCGUGUCGUGAGAUGUUGGGUUAAGUCCCGCAACGAGCGCAACCCUUGCCUUUAGUUGCCAGCAUUAAGUUGGGGACUCUAAAGGGACUGCCGGUGACAAAUCGGAGGAAGGUGGGGAUGACGUCAAAUCAUCAUGCCCCUUAUGAUCUGGGCUACACACGUGCUACAAUGGGUGGUACAGAGGGCAGCGAAGGGGCGACCCGGAGCGAAUCCCAGAAAGCCACUCUCAGUUCGGAUUGCAGGCUGCAACUCGCCUGCAUGAAGUCGGAAUCGCUAGUAAUCGCAGGUCAGCAUACUGCGGUGAAUACGUUCCCGGGCCUUGUACACACCGCCCGU